CCCGUCCUCUCCUGUCCCAUCCCUUUCCGUCCCCUCCCGCUGCCCCCUCCUGUCUCACAUCAUCCAUUCCUAUUCUUUCCCACCUCCUCCCAGUCCAUCCUGUCAUGUCCUUUCCAGUCUUGUCCUGCUCCAUUCUGUCUCUCCCACCACGCCCUGUCCCAUCCAUGCCCUCCUGUCCCACCCCCUCCAUGCUGUCUCUUCAUGCCCCAGCCCAUCCCACUCCAUCCACACCGUCUGAUCCCAUCCGAUCCCAUCCUCUCCCAUCCCAUUCCAUGCUGUGUGUCCAGUCUCGUCCCAUGCAGUCCCACCCUCUCCAUCCCACAUCUUGUCCCAUCACAUCCCAUUCUGUCCAUGUCUCAUCCAGUUCCAUCCCAUCUCAUUCCAUUCAUCCUGCCCCACUGUAUCCUACUGUAUCCCAUCUGCCCUGUGCCAUCCCAUCCUGUUCCAUCCCAUCCCUCCCGGUUCUAGCUCAUCCGUCUGGUCCCACCCCAUUCCAUUCCAUCCCCGUCUCAUCUCCCCAGUCCCAUCCCUGCCUGCUCUGGCACAGCCCCGCCACACUUUGGGGGGGAAGUCACCGAACACAGGGAAGGGCAGGAAACCCUUUAGUUUAUGGGAAAAGGGAGAGGACAAGUGGGAUGGGUCACCCCGGCUUGGGAGGUACAGGGGUGUGACAGCAGGUGGGGACCCCCAGUUAGGGACAUCCUGUCCAGGCCCCUCUGGGGCUGUCCCAGGGAUCCACAGCCUCUGUCCAGGGCUGACCCAUCGGCAGGGGACACCAGGAGCAGCUCUGGGAUGGAGGGGGUCCCUCCCUGGGGUUUGUACAUCCCAGUGCAUCUGGGGACACUGGGCUGCAGGGCAGCUCCUGGCACAGGGAGUGCCUGACCCUGGCUGUGGGACGCCCCACGCUGUCCCUAUGGAGAUGGGUGUGAUCACCAGGUGUAUUUAUUCCCAGGAGUGGACUGAGCAGGAUGGGGACACAGCCGUGUCCAUGGAGUCCGUGCGCCUGUGCCCUGGGCUCCAGCCACGUGCGUGCACACAGAGCACACGUGUGACCAGAGCAGGACACUCGCGUGGCCUCACCGUGCACUCAGGGCCGUGCUCGGCCUCACCAUUGGCAUCACCUGCCCUUCCCAGCCUGGAUCCCACAGGAUGCUCCUUCCCUGAGCUCUUUUCCCUCCCCCUCCUCCUCCCCACCAUCUCCGUGCCCGCAUGGGGCAGCCCCAUCCCACAGGGUGGGCAUUCACCCGGGGUCACUCAGAGCAUGGGGGGAUUCCCCUGGGGUCACUCAGAGUGUGGGGGGAUUCACACUGGGUCACUUGCUCUGUCUCCCCAGGCACCAGGCAUGGAUUGGGAUGGCUGAGGGGCUCCGGCACUCCCCGGUCUCUGGGCUCCAAGUGCCACAUGCCCACGGUGGUUCUGACCUAUGAGCUGCCCUCUCCACCUCCCACACCAGGUCCCAAGCUGGAACAACCCCUGAGCCUUGCUGAAGGUCUCUGGUGGGGAGAGGGAACUGUCUCCGUGUCCUGGGCUCUGGCAGGGAAGAGCCUGGGGAAUGCUGGGCUGAGGGGGAGCCUGGAAGGGAAGUGCCCCCAGUGUGUGGCACCAGCUGGGCACCCUUUGAGGUCCCUUCCAGCCCAGGCCGUUCCAUGAUUCCAUGGUCCCAGCUCCAUGGCCACAGCCACCAGCGUUUCUCCCUCUCCCUCAUCCUGGGCAUGGGAUGCCCCGGCUCCAUCCCACCCCAGAUCCAGGGACUCCUCAGCCAUCCACAGCCCUGUUAGUCUGUGGCACAGGCUGACUCCCAGAGCACAAACCCAAAAUCUGCUUCCAGCCGUAGGAGCAAAGUCAAAAACACAAAUCCCAAGUGCCAGAUGCAGCAUCCCAGAGCAGCCUCGUUUGCCAGGCCUGGCUCUCCAGAUGCUCAGCUUGGCUUGUGCUGUUCACCUGUUCCACAAUUACUUGGAAAAGCUCCCGAGUAACAGCCAGGAGCAGGAUGAGGGAGCUGCAGGUACCAGUACACGGAAUUCAGAAUGGAAACACUGUAUUGACAGACUUUACAAAAGUUGUUACAAAACACGGUCACGAACCAGCAGCUGACGAUACAGAGCGAAGAGACACCACGUACAGCCAUCUCAGAACAACACCAACAGCUCCAGAAGUCAUCCAAUAUUUACACAAACAGCUGGAAAACUCUGGGCGGUUAUCGCAUACAUGGAAGUGUUUUAGAGCAACUGUGAAAUAUAGUGUCACACCUUU
This is a long non-coding RNA of Corvus hawaiiensis (hawaiian crow), 2253 nucleotides long. RefSeq lists it as uncharacterized. Lineage: Eukaryota; Metazoa; Chordata; Aves; Passeriformes; Corvidae. The transcript is spliced from 2 exons. The record is from RefSeq and is a predicted model, not a curated record.